GCUGGGCGUGGUGGCGCAUGCCUGUAGUCCCAGCUACUCGGGAGGCUGAGGCAGGAGAAUCGCUUGAACCCAGGAAGCAGAGGUUGCAGUGAGCCAAGAUUGCACCACUGCACUCCAGCCUGGGUGACAGAGUAAGACUCUGUCUCAA
This 148-nucleotide non-coding RNA is filed under the name Homo sapiens (human). Lineage: Eukaryota; Metazoa; Chordata; Mammalia; Primates; Hominidae. The record is from Rfam by way of RNAcentral.